UACGUAGGGGGCAAGCGUUGUCCGGAUUUAUUGGGCGUAAAGAGCGUGUAGGCGGUUUGGUAGGUCCGCUGUGAAAACUCGAGGCUCAACCUCGAGACGUCGGUUGAAACCAUCUGGCUAGAGUCCGGAAGAGGAGUGUGGAAUUCCCGGUGUAGCGGUGAAAUGCGCAGAUAUCAGGAAGAACACCCGUGGCGAAAGCGGCUCUCUGGAACGGUACUGACGCUGAGACGCGAAAGCGUGGGGAGCGAACAGG
This 253-nucleotide ribosomal RNA is filed under the name uncultured bacterium. RNAcentral describes it as "partial 16S ribosomal RNA". It matches the Rfam family "Bacterial small subunit ribosomal RNA", at positions 524 to 776 of the family's 1533-position model. The record is from RNAcentral.